Cordylochernes scorpioides is the source of this 72-nucleotide non-coding RNA. The record is from the annotation of a GenBank genome assembly. NCBI's taxonomy places the organism in Eukaryota, Metazoa, Arthropoda, Arachnida, Pseudoscorpiones, Chernetidae.
UCCCUUGUUUUCUAGUGGUUAGGAUAUCUAGCUUUCAUUCAGAAGGCCCAGGUUCGAAUACCAGCGUGGGAA